Molecule: small nuclear RNA, 143 nt
Filed under: Cervus hanglu yarkandensis (Yarkand deer)
Lineage: Eukaryota; Metazoa; Chordata; Mammalia; Artiodactyla; Cervidae
Description: U4 spliceosomal RNA (ENSCHYG00000003489.1)
Rfam family: U4 spliceosomal RNA (bases 1-126)
About the family: U4 small nuclear RNA (U4 snRNA) is a component of the major U2-dependent spliceosome. The structure of U4 snRNA from yeast and human has been reported.
Source: RNAcentral
AGCUUUGCGCAGUGGCAGUACCGUAGCCAAUGAGGUUUAUCCGAGGCACGAUUAUCGCUAAUUGAAACUACAACAAAUACUAUAAUGAAGAUGCUGUUAUUCUCGUUUUACAGAUGAGGAAACUGAGCCCUGAAGGGAUUCAA